Molecule: long non-coding RNA, 7863 nt
Organism: Corvus hawaiiensis (hawaiian crow)
Lineage: Eukaryota; Metazoa; Chordata; Aves; Passeriformes; Corvidae
Exons: 2
Source: RefSeq, a predicted model, not a curated record
GUUUGUUUUUUUUUUUUUUAAAUCUGGCUGUCUUUUCUGUCCCCUCAUCUAAGUAGUCUUGGCUAUAAAUUUCUAUUAAGAUACAGUGAAAUUUCAGCAUUACAACAUUGCAGUCCCUUAGCUGGUAAGGAAAAGCUGAAAUUUACCCUGCCUUUCUUCAUCACUCUCCCUCUGUUCAGCCUACAUGGAAAUCACAACUUACCCUGCCUUGAGUUUUCGCUGUGCCACUUAAAUUCACAUCGUGAACCCGUGACUUGAGAGCCUGUCCCUUUCACACAGCAAAGAGAAUGCUUGGAGUUGGUGCACUUGGUCUCACAAUGGUCUGAACAGAUUUUUCAAGAGGACCCCACAGUCUAUGUUCUAGUAAAGAGGGCUCAGUCCUGCCCUGCAGGGCCUGGAUGGGGCUACACCGAGUGUUUUCCAUAGAGAUGAGGCUGCAGCGGUGGAGCAUAUGUGAUUGGGGCAUUUACCCCUAGCUUCACUAGAUGGAAAUUACUACAGCCAGCAAUUCCCAGAUCUGCCAGCUGAGGGAUCUCCCAAGCCUGUGACAGCUGCUGCUUGUAACAGACAAGCACAAAGAGAGCUUUAGCCCCUUCUCACAGAGUAGCAUCUAGAGGGAGGGCCAGAGCAACUGUGUCUGGCCUUUCUAAAUCAUUCUGUGCUGUAUCUUGGCCACUGAAGUAAGUCUGAGCACUGCACUUUUCUGUGCUGUUCAGAAAAUAAUUGACAGAUGGGAAGCUCGAACUCAGGAAAGCUGUAAAUGCUGGUGUCUGGUAUUUGCUUCCAAAGAAAUGCAGGGUUGUAGCCACCUGCAGGGUCAGCUGAAGGUACUCUGCCACCUGGUGUUUGGUCCCACAGACAGUUUUCCUUAGAAGUUAAAUUAAAUUUGAUCUUUUAACCCUGUGUGCACUUUGAGCACAUUCAGACACAGGUUCCCAUUCAGCAUUUCCAUGCAAGCUGAAUCAAAGAGCCUGGAUUGUUCAGAACACAGAAGGAACUCCCUUGCCAGAGCCUGGAUCCACAGCACUGCAGAAGCAAGAGAGGACCAUGCCGUGACAGUGGGCUUGAUCCCAGUCUCAGCUGCCAAGUUUUCCACCCAUAAGUUCCCAAGAGUGAAAGAAAGAACGAACAAACACCCUGUUUUCUUCAGCAGGAGGGAAGUUAAAAGUACCCUAUUGCAGGUUUCCAUUGGAAAGGAAAAGCUAGAAUUUAAAUAGCAUCUGUUGGCUGUUGAGCCCAGUAUGGCAAACAUUGCCACUGAAAUAACAGGUUAUAUUUAGAAGCAAGCCAAAUACCCUAAAACACUUGGUUUGGAAGCGUGUCAUAUUUUCCUUAGAGCCAGUAUUUGAGGCUUGGUUGUUUCUAAUAGUGGCUCAUUCAUAGAGAGCGGAGUUAACUUCUCACAGCUGGAUGUGACAUUUUUCCCAACUAAUCCUAACUUUUUGCUGCUAUAAAGCAAGCUGGAAACCAGGAAACACAUCUCACUGUUAGGCAGCACAGGAAAGAAAAAGGAGAGGAAAAAAAAAAAACAGGAUUUAGUUUGUAUUUUAAAAACUACACUAUGCAGGGACCAUCUCCUUUCCAGCAUCGUAGUAGCCUGGCAGAUCACAGCUCCCCAGGAUUCCAUUAGCACCACCCCAGCUAAAGGUACACUGAGGGUGACGUACGAGGCACCAGUUGCAGUCAUGCAGCCAGAACAAUCACUCAGGCGUUUUUCUUCGUGCUCAUACAGGGCAAGACAUUCCCUCAAGGUGUUCCUGAGGCUGAAUUCCUUCUCCCAUGCAAAGCAUCUUGCUGGGUGUCAUUUACUGCUCCUUUAGUGAGUUGCAGCACCCUUGUUACUCCUUUCUUUUCAGUGGCAAUUCCCAAGGACCCGUCACCCCAUCAUUCCCAUUUUGCUGAAUUUAUAGACUUGAAUGGAGCCAGAUGUCACUGAUGCACUGCAGUAGGAAUAAGUACAGGCCACCAAGGACCUGCUGACAAACUGCAAAACAUCCCUUAGCUGCAGUUGAGUAAAACACCGCCUGAAGGAACUGGUGAAGAAGCUUCUAUCACUUUUAAUUAUUGUUCAAAUCAAGUACCUUCUUUUUUAGGCAGGUGUUUUGCAGUUGCUAAAGAGACUCUUAUGGUUCAGAAAAAGUUAAAAACUGUCAAAGAGGUGCCUUCACCAAAAGUAAUAACCAAAUGCAUUAAAGGCAGCAUGUGGCUCUGCAUCCUGUGCCAAAAUGUGUUGCCAUGGGGUGCGCAGGUUGCUCACUUCUCCAGAUCCCUCCCUUUCCCUCACCUACAGCCCUAGUGAGUUCUGGGUCUUGGGUAGCUGUGCUAGGCAGCCUCUGUGGUUUCAACUCCAGGAUACUGACAGAGAGUGAUGUAGACACAAGAUCAAAAAUCAGCCUCGCUGUGUUGUGGUGCAGACUGUGGACUGCAGUGUGUACAUAGGCGGGUUGAUACUUUGAUUUUCUCCGGCUGUGGAGUAUCAUGGGCCUGAUGCAUGUAACCUUGGAGCCUGUAAAGCAUUGGUCAUACAGGCAUCUUGAAGGCAGCAGAUUAAAUGGUGUUAAAUGUCCUGCUUGCCAGCAAAAAGGGACUUUUCAGGAAAAGCGUGCAAAUCUAGGAGUGCUGGAUCCAAUGCAGCAGCAGUGCAUGCAGUAGGACAUGGCAGGACAUGUGCUGCCCCCUCCCCAGCUGCUGCCCGGGAGCCCCGUGCAUCAGGUAGGGCUGUGCUUUGGUAGAAUUAGAGGAAAACAGCAAUGACAGAGGUUACAGUCUCUGUUUACAGACAGGUUUUUCCCUUCACUUUCCCCUUCCCAAGCACAGGCUAUGUGGUAAAGCUUGAAUUGCAAACACUUGGGAGGAAUAGUGGUCAAAGCAAGCCUGCAUCUCACAACUAGCACUGCCAUCACCCCAGAAUAAAGUACAAAUACUUCUUUUGGGUGCAGAUUCAUUGGAAGUCAGAUGCUGCUCAUUGAAAACAACAAACCUAGGCUGUAGGAUCAGACUACAGGAGAGGGGAGGGAAGGCUAACACACCAAUUGCUUUAGUUACCCAAAUAUGACUCCAUGUCUGGGGGUGGGGACUGAUAGUCCUGUGUGCACAUGUUCACAGGAACAUUUGUUUCUGCUGUUCCUCGUACCCCGGUGCUCGGGUCAGGCCCCGUCACAGAGCCACUGACCCCUCUGGCUGACAUUCUGUCCCAACCUUGGCACAUUUUUAUGAGCAGCAGGGCCGUGCUCCACGUGUGGUUCCAGGCUAAAAAUUACUGACAGAAAGUCAGCCCACAGCGGCGCUGGCCUUCACCACAUUAACCUCUGCCUCUGAGAUUGUGAAAACAGAUCAGGCCUUUCAUGAUGAAAAGCCUUUUCUCUGGCAGAUUUCUCUUAUUUACAGCCUCCCAUUAACUGAUGUUCGUAAACUGCUUCACAGCCCUCUGCUGAAAGGCUCUAGAGAAGUUCAAGUGCUUUCUCAACAGUGUAUUCCAAACACCCAUCGUCCAGAGUUUCCUCAUACACUCCUGGCAGUUUUCCCUGCCAAACAAGAGACAGAUCUGGCACAGGAGAAAUAAACAAGCACAGCAAAGGAGAAAGCUAUUUUCAGUUCCUACUAGUUGGAGGAUUGCUACAACAUUUUCUACUGCAUUACGCAGUGAGGUUGGGUGAGCCAGAGAAGUCUUCCCACUUUCUACUGUUUAAUAUAUGAAAAACUCCUGCUUCGUCUUUGUGGGAAUUUUUUUUUUUAUUCUGAGAGGGGUCUUGAGAAAUUAAAGUAGGAGGCAAUACUAGAAUUUUUGAAAAGCCUCAACAAUGCUUCUCAACUCCAUUUAGUUUCACUUCUCCAGGGUGAUUUCAGACACAUCUUGAAAUGAAGGCAUCAAAGCGCCUUACCUGGAAAUGCUCUGAAGGUUUACAUCUCCCUAGAGAGUUCAGUCAAACUUGUCAUCUGUCAGGCAGCCCAUUAACAGUGGCACAUGUGUGCAGGUAACAUGUCACUUACCUGAGGUGGCACUUGCAUACAACGACCGCAAGGUCGAUGCUCCUGUGUCUUGGGAAUCUCAUUCUGUGCAGUGCCCUGCCAAGCAGUCUGUGUCUUCACUGCUGCCUCUGAGCAGCCCAACUGCCUCUGUCUCACCACCCUUUUCCCCCCAGGUACUAAUUGGCUCCUUCUUUUGAAAAAGAUAACUCCUGGAAAAACAGCCUCAUAAACAUCUUUUUGCAAUACAGACCUCAAUGUUGCUCACAAACACUUUUCCUCUUGCCCACAACCCAACCUUCACCUCCCCUCCCCCCUCCCAUUUUAAAUAAACCUCCCUGUCCAGGUGGAGCCACUGAUGAGGCCUGGCAGCUCACAGGGAUAGUGCUCUUGCAGCUUUUGCACCUUUUGUAGUGAUGCAGCUGCUGACAAAUCCUAAAAACACCAAAUAAUUCUGUCCCAGAGCACUCCUCCCUGUGCUGUUCUUCCCCUGCCCUUUCCCUUCCCCCCAGUCUUCUAACAGUUCCAAGAAAUAUCUGCACACCACUGGAGAAAUAAGUCCCUAACUUCUCAUAGGGCCACGGGCAGACACCAUCUGCAUCUGACACCAGCUCAUCAUGUGGGAGAAACCUUGGGCUUACUUGGCAUAAAUCAUCCCUUCAGGACUGGUGAGAAGGGAUUAAAUCACCUAAAAAUGCAUUCCCUGAAACUGCAUUGCAAAAACAAUCCUCAGCUGAGGGGACAAGGAAGGACAGCAUGGAGGCAGUGUUGAGAGAGGUCAAGAGCUCUGAACUUGCUGAGAGCAAGACCUAAAGUGCAGGAGGCGCUUUAGGUUCUGGCAGAGGCUUCAUGAACAAACCACUGUUCCUGUUAAUGUUCUUACUUCAAAACCAGGGGAACACACUGCGACUGUACAUACCCUCAGCAGAGCUGUUGGCUCAGGAGCCCUGGCUGUGCUGACCCUCAUUUUAGGGUUGUUUCCAUUUUUUCUAACCCUGUGAUCCAGCAUGGCACUAAUUGCCCAAGACUAGGAAAAUGCUCUGAUCCACCACAAAUCUGCAGGUACCAGCAGUCACCAGUUUCCAGACAGGGCCCACAGAAUGCUCCUGGAUGUUUGUUUCCCCUGUUCCCUGAGUGUGCAUGUGAGGACCUGGAGCAAGGAGGGCAGCUCCAGUGUGGGGCUGGUGGCCAAGCCCAGGAACUCCAGAGCACACCCAGGACUCAAAGUCCAAGGAUCACUGUAGUGAAAUGGUGCUUCCAGCCUGCAGAGCACACACAGCCAGGUGACCCAGCACGUCCCCAGCUCAGACACCACACAACCUGGGAUGCAGAUAUGUAUGCACAUCAUGCCAUCCCACUAAGAGGUUAGACCUUUUCUCACACAUGCUCUUCCCCCUUCCCAACCUCAGACCAUUUUUUAUGAAACAUUCAGCUCCUCCCUGACAUGAAGGAGAUUUUAAAAAUCUAAGUCAAUUCCCUUAUUCCCAAACAGAUUGGAGCCCAAAUCCCAGCAUCUCCCUCACUGCCCCUUUGGCUGUUGCAGUGUUGGUGCAGCCUCUCCCCUGCACAGUAAUUACUGCCAAGGUAGGGGAUGAAAGGGGGAAGUUCUUUAACGCAGCUCCGCGGCUGGAGGGCUCAGCUGACUCACAACACAUGAAGAUGCUGGUGCGUUGUACAGGUUUUAGUCACUUCCCUCCCUGAUGUUGGCUACUCCAGUACUCAGGUUCUGGGAAGUGCUGGUGUGGCCCCUUUUUCCACAGUCCAGCAGUUAAGAGAUGUUCCAAUUGAACAAUCCAAUGCAUUUCUCCAAUCUUUUCAAUUUUUGCAUUUUCAGAGUGGGUGAUGAAAAAUGGUGCCUCUUUGACAUACAGAAAGUGCUGGUUAUUCUGUGCUGGGGUCUUGAGUCUCCCUUUUGCAGAUAAUCCUAGACUUCAGGGUUUCCAAAAGUGACAUUUUCAAUCCCAUUAUAAUUACAGAAAUGCUGAAAGAAAAUGGCAUGUAUGAUUCCCCAAACUGGAGACUUGUGAAGAAAGAAAGGUUUCAAGUAAACUUUUGCCCCUUGCUGCCUUUGCUGGUUGAAUUGUGACCAAGUUUGUUUGAGAAAGGCUUUUUUUCCACAGAACAAACCAAAACUGUUCUGUUAAGUGUCAACAGCAAAUCAUUUCUCAUUGCACUCACUUUCUGAAGAUCUCGGUGUAGGUGUACAGCCCUCCUAUCCUGCAAAUGCUGGCUAAUUUGAGACAGAUGCAUGAUGAAAAACAAAUACCUUUCUUUCUUUCUCUUUACUUGUUUGCAUUUUAGCAAACAUGCAAAAGAUGCUCCAACCAGGCUCCACAGUUUGCUUUGGGGAAGCCAGUUUUCACCCAGUCCUGCUAUCUGCUGCCCAUUCCCACAGCUUCAUGUUCCACACUUGGGAAAAAAACACCUUCCUGGUGCUCCUUGCUGCCAAGGCAUCCCUGUGGUGGCAGAGGACUUGGGUCUUCCCCAAACCUUUAUGCUCUGGGCGAGCAUGUGGCCUCCACACCUGAAACACUGCUGUGGAUCUCUCAUGUGUUCGUGUCAGGAAUUAACCUCAGCUUCAGCCUUGCCAAGAUGUGAAAAAAAGCUUUAGGGAAUGAGGCGAGGAAGCAGCAAGUUGGAGGAGACACACGGAGACACCACCACCACCUCCCCACCUCUCUGUUAACCUGAUGUUUCUGGGCAGCUCUAGCUAUUGCUGCCAUGGGUGUUAGUGCAGGGAGGAGUGGAGACAGGAAGAGGGAGAAGGAAAUGCCAGCAAGGAGUGAAGUUCAGCUGGCCUGCAGGGUGUUACCCUAUCCAAGGCAGGGAGAGCAGGGAAAUUCCCAACUCGGCAAUAGUCAGUCAAAUUGAGGUAGGAGGAGAAAAGGGCUGGGCACAGCAAUUAUACCCUUCCAUGGCAAAGAACUAAGUGCUUUCUAAGUCAUCCAUUUCGUAAGUAAUUAGUCACCAUCACUUCCUAGCCACAUAAACUCAUCCCAUUUGAUUUUACACCUCCUGACAGGUCCCCAGGCCACUUGGACGAGAACUUCCCAUCAGUCUCACGAGAGGAGAGGCGAUUCAGAAAGCACCAUCGCAGCAGGACUUAGCAAGAUGUGGAUGCUUCAGCUUCACUGCAAUUCCCUGGCCUCCAGAGCUGGAUACAACUCAGAUGAUUCUCUGGCUCACUGUCCUGUGAAAUGCAUUUUAUUUAUAGGAAGGCAUACAAAAUGCAGCUAAGGCAGCUCUGACAAGCUACAACAAAGGAUUUGUCUCUUUUUUUGACACAUGCACGUGGCUUUUGAAUACAUCCUGAAGACUCUGCGGCCAUAAACAUUUAUGCAAGAAGAAAACUAUGGUAGCAGAAACCUACUUAAUUUUUUUAAAAAAUUGACUGCUACACUGCAUGCUGGGAGGAUGCUCACCUAUGUGACCAUGGGGCUACAAUUAAUUUAAAAAGGAAAGAGAAUCCUGACCCUGCCUGUGCAGGAAAAUCAGCACUUUUCUGCAGCCUUCGGUUGCUGUGUUGAGAACCUGCACCGGGAGAAAAGCAGCAUCUCCAAGGGGCCUGGCUACCAGAAAAUGGUGGUCAAAAUGAACACGAAUUUUCAGAGUGCUGCAAUCAUCUCCAGCUCAAACUCAGAUCAACUGAAGGAAGAGAAAAAGUGAUCCAUUGGCAAAGAUAAGCUCCAGCUUGCACGUCGUCCUUCAGCAGAGCUAAGGCUGAGAACAAGUCACCACAAACCCACAAGAAGAGCCACGUCCAUUUCGUAACCUGUAAUUUUUAAAUAUAACAUUUUAUUGCUUAGAUGGUUUGAUACAGAACAAGUUUUACUUUUUAUUUUGAAUUUGGAAGUACUGUACAACUGAAAAAAAAGAGGAAUAAAAGUACCAAAACAA